RNAcentral lists this ribosomal RNA (423 nucleotides) under uncultured eukaryote. Its description in RNAcentral is "SSU rRNA". It matches the Rfam family "Eukaryotic small subunit ribosomal RNA", at positions 592 to 1017 of the family's 1831-position model. The record is from RNAcentral.
CAAUAGCGUAUAUUAAAGUUGUUGCAGUUAAAAGCUCGUAAGUUGGAUUUCUGGUACAACGCGCCUGGCCGCUAUCGUGAGUGCCGGUGCGCGUUUGCCAUCCUUCUAGAAAACGUCUCUACUCGGGCAACUGAGCCGGAUUCGCGAUCUAGAUCUUUUACUUUGAAAAAUUAGAGUGUUUAAAGCAGGCUAUUGCCUUGAAUACAUUAGCAUGGAAUAAUAAUCUAGGACUUCGGUUCUAUUUUGUUGGUUUCUAGUACUGAAGUAAUGAUUGAUAGGGAUAGUUGGGGUGGCUAGUAUUGACCGGCCAGAGGUGAAAAUUCUUGGAUUCGGUCAAGACUAACUUAUGCGAAAGCAUUCACCAAGGAUGUCUUCUUUAAUCAAGAACGAAAGUUGGGGGAGGUCGAAGACGAUUAGAUACCA